AAAAAAAAAUUUAAUUAAUUAAUUAAUUAAUUAAAUAAUUAAAAUAAAUAUAUAAAUAAAAUAUAACAAAUUAUUUUGGACUUGGGUCUCCCUCAUUUCAAACCCAUUACCCACGAAAUUAGUCUAUAAAUACUGAAGUUUCAGUAGGGGAGUGACACUUGGAGUUUACACUGGGAGAUUCACUGGAGAAAGAAGGAAGAGAAGCAAAACACUCUGAGGUUUCCUUGGAACAAAACCUUGAGGAAAAAGAAAGAGAGAGAACAGAG
This 266-nucleotide long non-coding RNA is filed under the name Lathyrus oleraceus (garden pea). RNAcentral's name for it is "Pisum sativum (pea) long non-coding RNA (PSAT_LNC042135)". Lineage: Eukaryota; Viridiplantae; Streptophyta; Magnoliopsida; Fabales; Fabaceae. The record is from RNAcentral.